Long non-coding RNA from Calidris pugnax (ruff), 1020 nucleotides. RefSeq lists it as uncharacterized. The transcript has 2 exons. NCBI's taxonomy places the organism in Eukaryota, Metazoa, Chordata, Aves, Charadriiformes, Scolopacidae. The record is from RefSeq and is a predicted model, not a curated record.
CCAGAAUGCCGCGCGGCGCAGGUGGAGGUGAGGGGUGGUGACCGCGGCCAUGGCGAGAGAUGUAGUUCCUGGUGGCAGCUUCCUGUGUGUUCCUCAGCAGCUCUUCAAGCAGGAAGAUCGUCAUGGCUUUUACUGUAGGAAUAUAUAGGAGAUGGGCAGAGAAAGGGUAUUCUGCCUGUACGUACUCUGUGGAAGCAUUAAGUGACUUGAAGGUAUAAUUACACAAAGCAACACAGCAGUAAUGUGUAAGCUACUAGUAAAGUGAUUUAUCAUCACACUGGAGAUAUUUGGGCUAAUUGUGCACCUCGGAGGACUAGCUUGCUUUCUGAUUAGCCUGCAUAUCCCUGUGCUGUACCAGUGCGUGCAGUGUAAAUAUAACCUCACUUGUUUCUGCCAGCAAGACCCCUAUGUAGUAUUUAGCUUCAAAUAAUGUGAAACGUAAAAUAAAACCUAACAGGUGUUUUCAGAUUGCUUUUCCAUCAUGUCUGUUCCUGUUCUUCCUAAUUCAAUUUGGAAGCGAGUGGGCUGAAAAAAAAAAAUCAUUAUGGAUGAAAUCUGGUUGAAUUUUUAGACCGUUCAGUUUCUGCUUAAUGAUUUCAGUAAUACAUGUAUUAAUUAAAAAUAAUAACUUGAAGCAUUGUUGGUUGAAUUCUUGGACCUAAAUUUUAGAAGUUAAACAUUCAUAAUUCUUCUUUUGCCAUAUAUUUUUUCCACCCUUACCUCCCUCUCUCUUUCCUAACAGAUCUCCAUUUCUAGUUUUCUUCUGCUACAGAUGUCUGCUUGUAAAAGGCAGGGUGUUUGUUACACUAGGCUUUAACAUCCUUUGUUCUAAAGCUUAUCCUGAGCUCUGCUAUAUAGCAUCCUACAGUCUAAGACAGUAAGGAUGCUUUUCUUUUUUUCUGUCUGUGAGAAUGUUCUUUUUAGUGGCAACAUAUUCAUUUCAUAGUCACAUGAUGGCAAAUAGAGGUGUUCACUGGUGUAAAAAUAAAGUGAGAUGCUGUUGUACUGGAGUAAUUGAAA